GACGAACGCUGGCGGCGUGCUUAACACAUGCAAGUCGAGCGGAAAGGCCCUUUCGGGGGUACUCGAGCGGCGAACGGGUGAGUAACACGUGAGUAAUCUGCCCUUCACUUGGGGAUAACCUCCGGAAACGGUGGCUAAUACCCGAUACGACCAUUCCUCGCAUGAGGUGGUGGUGGAAAGUUUUUCGGUGGGGGAUGUGCUCGCGGCCUAUCAGCUUGUUGGUGGGGUAAUGGCCUACCAAGGCUUCGACGGGUAGCCGGCCUGAGAGGGUGACCGGCCACACUGGGACUGAGACACGGCCCAGACUCCUACGGGAGGCAGCAGUGGGGAAUAUUGGACAAUGGGCGGAAGCCUGAUCCGGCAACGCCGCGUGAGGGAUGACGGCCUUCGGGUUGUAAACCUCUUUCACCUGUGACGAAGCGAAAGUGACGGUAGCAGGAGAAGAAGCACCGGCCAACUACGUG
RNAcentral lists this ribosomal RNA (464 nucleotides) under uncultured bacterium. RNAcentral's name for it is "partial 16S ribosomal RNA". It matches the Rfam family "Bacterial small subunit ribosomal RNA", at positions 28 to 507 of the family's 1533-position model. The record is from RNAcentral.